Copidosoma floridanum is the source of this 2295-nucleotide unclassified non-coding RNA. Lineage: Eukaryota; Metazoa; Arthropoda; Insecta; Hymenoptera; Encyrtidae. The record is from RefSeq and is a predicted model, not a curated record.
GGUGCUCCCUCUUUUCCCUUCACCCUUCACCCUCGCAGAAGUGUAUGUUUUUCGGAGUUUCGGAGCAGCAAGUGUCAGUCAGACCUUGGACUUGGGGUGGCGAGCGAACGACAUACGACAUUGCAGUAACGCGCACAGUAUACCUAUUUAUCUACUUCACGCACAUUUUAUUACGUAGAAUUAGAACAGUGAUGCAGAUAUUGCGGAGACUAUAUCCUACUAAGCGUACACGUAUGAAUUCAUAGAUGUCUCAUCUCGAUAAUAAUUAUUAAUUACGCGCAGAAACAAGCAAAUGCGUAAUAUUAUUGUGGUUCUCUUGCUUUUGCGUUCUACCUAUUAUACAAACAAAUACUCGCAGAGAUAGUUGUGUGAUACGUGUGUGCGUGUACGCGUAAGUAUACGAGAGUGUAAUCCAUGGAUUAGAUAUUAUUACUAUCGCCACUAUCAGUGCGGGUAGACACAGGUAUAUGAGGACAAAAGAUAAUCAGAUAAUACGAUAUUAAGUAUAUAUAUAUAAAGAAAAAAAAAGGUAGAGAGGUGUGAUCGUCGAAUCGUCGUCGGACGCGCGUGCGUGGGUGGUUAGUGCAAAUAUAUAUACGUGUAUACAGAUAUAUGGUGCGGGACUUUCUAUCUCUUGAUCCCUGUCUCUACAAGCCUUCGUCCCUCUCUCUUUCUUCCUGAUGCCAUCUCUGCCAUGUUUAUCUUGGAUGUGAACGUCUCUCGGUAGGUUGGACAGUGGACACCAUCACCUAAAUAAUCGUAGCGCAACGCAACAACGCGCUGGUAAAUAUUUUUUGUUUCGGAGCAAUUGGGGUAAUCGGAGCAUCAUCCAACGCUUUUUUUCACCCUCCCUACUCUCCUGGCCUGGCUGGACUUUCCUGGCUAUAAGUAAGUGUACUUUGUAGUGCAAAGUUGGCACCACCAGCAGACAGAGGUGUGUCGUCGUCGUGUAUAGUACCCGUCGUUGUUGUUUCUCUGCAUCAGUUGAAAAUGGCAAGCCAAACGGCCUCGGCGGGAACUGGUGCAGCUGCAGCUGCUGAUGGUGCAGCGGCGGCUGGUCCGCUGCCCAACGCAGAAAUUGUGCGCGGCCAGGUGUUCGAGGUCGGACCUCGAUAUACAAAUCUUGCCUACAUGGGCGAGGGUGCCUACGGCAUGGUGGUCUCUGCAUAUGACAAUGUUACAAAUACAAAAGUAGCCAUCAAAAAGAUUUCUCCAUUCGAACAUCAAACUUACAGCCAAAGGACACUAAGAGAAAUUAAAAUCUUAACAAGGUUCAAUCAUGAAAAUAUCAUAGACAUAAGGGAUAUAUUGAGAGCUCCUACAAUAGACCAGAUGAAAGAUGUAUAUAUUGUUCAGUGUCUAAUGGAAACUGAUCUUUAUAAACUACUUAAAACUCAGGCUAUUGGAAAUGAUCACAUAUGUUAUUUUCUGUAUCAAAUCCUCCGUGGACUGAAGUAUAUUCACUCGGCAAAUGUUUUACACAGAGAUCUCAAACCUAGUAAUUUACUUUUAAACACCACAUGUGACCUUAAAAUUUGUGAUUUUGGUCUGGCUAGAGUAGCUGAUCCUGAUCAUAAUCACGCUGGUUUUCUCACAGAAUAUGUGGCCACUAGGUGGUACAGAGCACCUGAAAUUAUGUUGAAUUCCAAGGGCUACACAAAGUCCAUAGAUAUUUGGUCGGUAGGCUGUAUUCUUGCUGAAAUGCUGUCUAGAAGGGCUAUUUUUCCAGGCAAACAUUAUUUAGAUCAACUCAAUCAUAUCCUUGGUAUUCUUGGUUCACCUUCCCCCGAGGACCUUGACUGUAUUAUUAACGAAAAGGCGCGCAGUUAUUUACAAUCUUUACCAUACAAACCAAAGGUUCCAUGGACCAGUUUAUUUCCCAAUGCAGAUCCUAAAGCACUUGAUUUGUUAGACAAAAUGUUAACUUUUAACCCUAACCAACGUAUUGAAGUUGAAGAGGCAUUGGCCCAUCCGUAUUUGGAACAGUAUUAUGAUCCCGCUGAUGAACCUGUGGCAGAGGAGCCAUUUAAAUUUGAUAUGGAACUAGAUGAUCUUCCAAAAGAGAUAUUGAAAGAGUACAUCUUUGAAGAGACCUUACUCUUCCAAAGAACUCGCAAAGAGAAUGCCAUUUAAUAACAAUUUUGAAAUAACCACAAUUUCAAAAGUUUUAAGGAAUGAAAGCAUUUCUUAUUCAUCAACAAUAAAUAUUUGGACGACAGAAAGAAACGCAAAGCAGCUUUUCUUCUUCAUCGUCUGCAUGCAUACGCAUCCUUGGUAAUUUGCUUCUUCUACACC